GAGCUCAUCUUAGCCACAGUUCUUCAGGGGUUUUUUGAUGCAGUUGGCCUUCUCCUAAGAGGCAAUGUUGACAAGAAAGAGGCACUGGAGAAUCUGGAUCUCAUUCUGUUAUGCCUUGAUGAAAUUGUCGACGGCGGAAUAACUCUCGAAAAUGAUGCAAAUGUCAUUGCGGGGAAGGUAGCAAGUAAUAGCAUGGAUGCUGGAGCUCCAUUAUCUGAGCAGACAAUAACUCAAGCGCUGGCCACUGCGCGUGAACAUCUAACAAGAUCCCUUCUUAA
This 278-nucleotide unclassified non-coding RNA is filed under the name Hevea brasiliensis (rubber tree). Lineage: Eukaryota; Viridiplantae; Streptophyta; Magnoliopsida; Malpighiales; Euphorbiaceae. The record is from RNAcentral.